This 425-nucleotide ribosomal RNA is filed under the name uncultured bacterium. Its description in RNAcentral is "partial 16S ribosomal RNA". It matches the Rfam family "Bacterial small subunit ribosomal RNA", at positions 354 to 796 of the family's 1533-position model. The record is from RNAcentral.
GUUAGGAAUAUUGGACAAUGGGCGCAAGCCUGAUCCAGCCAUGCCGCGUGAGUGAUGAAGGCCUUCGGGUUGUAAAGCUCUUUAGCCGAUGAUUAUAAUGACUGUAGUCGGAAAAUAAGCCCCGGCUAACUUCGUGCCAGCAGCCGCGGUAAUACGAAGGGGGCGAGCGUUAUUCGGAAUCACUGGGCGUAAAGCGUGCGUAGGCGGCUUUGCAAGCUGGGAGUGAAAGCCUAGGGCUCAACCCUGGAAUUGCUCUCAAAACUGCAAGGCUCGAAUGAGGGAGAGGAUAGCGGAAUUGUCAGUGUAGCAGUGAAAUGCGUAGAUAUUGACAGGAACACCAGUGGCGUAAGCGGCUAUCUGGACCGAUAUUGACGCUGAGGCACGAAAGCGUGGGGAUCAAACAGGAUUAGAAACCCUUGUAGUCC